This 497-nucleotide ribosomal RNA is filed under the name uncultured Flavobacterium sp. RNAcentral describes it as "partial 16S ribosomal RNA". The record is from RNAcentral. Lineage: Bacteria; Pseudomonadati; Bacteroidota; Flavobacteriia; Flavobacteriales; Flavobacteriaceae.
CACGGAGUUAGCCGAUCCUUAUUCUUACGGUACCGUCAGUACAUUACACGUAAUGUUUUUUCUUCCCGUACAAAAGCAGUUUACACACCAUAGAUGCUUCAUCCUGCACGCGGCAUGGCUGGUUCAGACUUCCGUCCAUUGACCAAUAUUCCUCACUGCUGCCUCCCGUAGGAGUCUGGUCCGUGUCUCAGUACCAGUGUGGGGGAUCUCCCUCUCAGGACCCCUACCCAUCAUCGUCUUGGUAAGCCGUUACCUUACCAACUAACUAAUGGGACGCAUGCUCAUCUUAUACCAAUAAAUCUUUAUAAUAAAAUCGAUGCCAAUUCUAUUAACUAUAAGGUAUUAAUCCAAAUUUCUCUGGGCUAUCCCUUAGUAUAAGGUAGAUUGCAUACGCGUUACGCACCCGUGCGCCGGUCUCAAGUUCCGAAGAACUCUACCCCUCGACUUGCAUGUGUUAGGCCUGCCGCUAGCGUUCAUCCUGAGCCAGGAUCAAACUC